UAAUUACGAGCUCAAUGGUAGAGUAGUCCACUCAUAAUGGAUGUUCCAAGGUUCAAUUCUAAGUAAUUCA
Molecule: non-coding RNA, 70 nt
Organism: Suhomyces tanzawaensis NRRL Y-17324
Lineage: Eukaryota; Fungi; Ascomycota; Pichiomycetes; Serinales; Debaryomycetaceae
Source: the annotation of a RefSeq genome assembly